Molecule: transfer RNA, 76 nt
Filed under: Bacteroidia bacterium
Lineage: Bacteria; Pseudomonadati; Bacteroidota; Bacteroidia
Description: tRNA-Gly
Rfam family: tRNA
About the family: Transfer RNA (tRNA) molecules are approximately 80 nucleotides in length. Their secondary structure includes four short double-helical elements and three loops (D, anti-codon, and T loops).
Source: RNAcentral
GCGGCAAUAGCUCAGUUGGCAGAGCGUUGGCUUCCCAAGCCGAAGGUCGCGGGUUCGAGCCCCGUUUGCCGCUCCU